AUGCCCCUACUCUGUUGGUGAUCUGCGGAGUAUUGAGCCAACUCUCGUAAAAAGGGCAGUCUUCAGGUUGAUCUAUGGAAAUCUGUUUAGAUUUCCAGCAGUCAACCAAGACCUUGCCCACCUAAUUUAAUUAGGUUUAAUCAUUUCGCAGACACGGCAGCGUGGGGGCUUU
Molecule: non-coding RNA, 172 nt
Filed under: Desulfobulbus oligotrophicus
Lineage: Bacteria; Pseudomonadati; Thermodesulfobacteriota; Desulfobulbia; Desulfobulbales; Desulfobulbaceae
Description: 6S / SsrS RNA
Rfam family: 6S / SsrS RNA
About the family: E. coli 6S RNA was the first non coding RNA to be sequenced, but its function was unknown until recently. It consists of 184 nucleotides that fold into an extended hairpin structure with a large single-stranded internal bulge. The 6S RNA specifically associates with RNA polymerase holoenzyme containing the sigma70 specificity factor.
Source: Rfam by way of RNAcentral